GUCUCUUAGAUCCAGCAUCUAGUUCCGCGCAUCGGAUAACCUUUUCCGCCGCAUGUUGGUCUUCUUCUCUGAUUUACUUGCUCUCUCUACAUACGACUCUCUUUCUCUCUCUAUGCACAGACCUCUCCCUCCUUACGCUCAAAAUCUCUCCUCUCAAUGGUUAUUUCUCUACUUUUAUAGUCGGAGAGAAGAGAGCCCCAAACAACCCUUUCUCAUUCUUCGAUGGAGGGAAGAGGUGUACAUGCCUUUUUUUUUCUCUUCUUUCUUGACCAGAGGCGUCU
Molecule: long non-coding RNA, 281 nt
Filed under: Carica papaya (papaya)
Lineage: Eukaryota; Viridiplantae; Streptophyta; Magnoliopsida; Brassicales; Caricaceae
Description: long non-coding RNA (CPAP_LNC005515)
Source: RNAcentral